CACGUAGUUGGCCGGGGCUUCUUAGUCAGGUACCGUCAUUCUCUUCCCUGCUGAUAGAGCUUUACAUACCGAAAUACUUCUUCACUCACGCGGCGUUGCUGCAUCAGGGUUUCCCCCAUUGUGCAAUAUUCCCCACUGCUGCCUCCCGUAGGAGUUUGGGCCGUGUCUCAGUCCCAAUGUGGCCGGCCACCCUCUCAGGUCGGCUACUGAUCGUCGCCUUGGUGGGCCGUUACCCCGCCAACCAGCUAAUCAGACGCGGGUCCAUCUCAUACCACCUCGGUUUUUCACACUGGACCAUGCAGUCCCGUGCGCUUAUGCGGUAUUAGCAGUCAUUUCUAACUGUUAUCCCCUUGUAUGAGGCAGGUUACCCACGCGUUACUCACCCGUCCGCCGCUAAGUCAAUAUGGCUUCAUUCUGAAAAAUUUCACCUUAUCGCUUCGCUCGACUUGCAUGUGUUAAGCACGCCGCCAGCGUUCAUCCUGAGCCAGGAUCAAACU
This 497-nucleotide ribosomal RNA is filed under the name uncultured Lachnospiraceae bacterium. RNAcentral describes it as "partial 16S ribosomal RNA". Lineage: Bacteria; Bacillati; Bacillota; Clostridia; Lachnospirales; Lachnospiraceae. The record is from RNAcentral.